GACGUAGGGGGCCAGCGUUGUUCGGAAUUACUGGGUGUAAAGGGUUCGUAGGCGGUGUGGCAAGUCGGGAGUGAAAUCUCUGGGCUCAACCCAGAGACUGCUUCCGAAACUGCUGUGCUUGAGUGUGAGAGAGGCUCGUGGAAUUGCAGGUGUAGCGGUGAAAUGCGUAGAUAUCUGCAGGAACACCCGUGGCGAAAGCGGCGAGCUGGAUCACUACUGACGCUGAGGAACGAAAGCUAGGGUAGCGAACGGG
RNAcentral lists this ribosomal RNA (253 nucleotides) under uncultured bacterium. Its description in RNAcentral is "partial 16S ribosomal RNA". It matches the Rfam family "Bacterial small subunit ribosomal RNA", at positions 524 to 776 of the family's 1533-position model. The record is from RNAcentral.